UCCCAGCAGAUAGGCGCUAUGGCAGCAUACCUAGGGGACAAGAGGCAGGGGGGGGGAUACGGCCAUUGUCAAAGGAGAGAAGUAGGUCAUUAAGCACUUUUAGGACAACGGUUUCUGUCCUGUGAUGCGGUUGUUAUGUUUUGUAAAAAAUCAGACGGACAACUUAUGAAUUGAACUGAGAUUACUGCAGCUUGUGUUUCUCCAUCCAUAUUUUACAGAUGACAUCACUCACGUAUAUCAACUACGGGUACUCCAGUGAAACAUAUGUAGCCGGUUGAACCCCGGUAGUGAUCAAAUUGAUUAGGUUCACCUGGUGCGACGGCACGUAAUGUGCACGUAACCUCCUCCGGUAUUUAGAAGUGCCUCGGGAUUGUUUGAAACUCAUGCGGUCGUCCCUGAAAAAAAAGCUGUUUGUUGCGGGUAGCUAUGCCGUUUGUCCAUGGAAGCUUGUGAGGCUUAUUCCAGCCGAGUGUGUGAGUGCACCGAGAGCUCCGGGCUUCUCUUUCUUCCCUGGGUCAUCAGUAGCGUUUACCCCUGAGAGUAAAGAUGCUUCUGAUUACGUCGAUACAAACUUCCAUCUGAUGUGUGAACUACAUAGGAUCUUGGUUGCUCAUGUUUCCCCUCAACCACAGCUGGCUGCCAAGUCUCCCCUCUUUGAAUCCUGACAUCCUCUCCAGUUUGCAGCUCAGGUGGUUGCUGGCAUCCUGGGUUUGAAGAGUUUUGCGGUGGCUGUUUCUCCUUUUCCCACCCCGGUUCAUUGCCUCCCUCCAUAGGAGCAGCCAAGCCCAUCGGGCAGGUAAAAUUAUAAUUU
Long non-coding RNA from Megalops cyprinoides (Indo-Pacific tarpon), 811 nucleotides. RefSeq lists it as uncharacterized. The transcript has 4 exons. Lineage: Eukaryota; Metazoa; Chordata; Actinopteri; Elopiformes; Megalopidae. The record is from RefSeq and is a predicted model, not a curated record.